GAUCAUGGCUCAGAACGAACGCUGGCGGCAUGGAUUAGGCAUGCAAGUCGAACGGUGUAGCAAUACACAGUGGCGGAAGGGUGAGGAACACGUGAAUAAUUUGCCCUCAAGUUGGGAAUAACUUUCCGAAAGGAAAGCUAAUACCGAAUGUGGUGUUUUAUCGCAUGAUAGGACAACUAAAGAUUUAUCGCUUGAGGAUGAGUUCGCGUCCCAUUAGCUAGUUGGCGGGGUAACGGCCCACCAAGGCAGAGAUGGGUAGCUGGUCUGAGAGGAUGAUCAGCCACACUGGGACUGAGACACUGCCCAGACUCCUACGGGAGGCUGCAGUCGAGAAUCUUUUGCAAUGCGCGAAAGCGUUGACAAAGCAAUGCCGCGUGCCGGAUGAAGGUCUUCGGAUUGUAAACGGCUGUCACUCGGGACGAAAAAUGACGGUACCGAGGGAGGAAGCCACGGCUAACUACGUGCCAGCAGCAGC
Molecule: ribosomal RNA, 475 nt
Filed under: uncultured bacterium
Lineage: Bacteria
Description: bacterial SSU rRNA
Rfam family: Bacterial small subunit ribosomal RNA
Source: RNAcentral